CUACCCUUAUCGGUGGAUCACUAGGCUCGUGGAUCGAUGAAGAACGCAGCAAACUGCGAUACUUAAUGCGAACUGCAG
Molecule: ribosomal RNA, 78 nt
Filed under: Meloidogyne arenaria
Lineage: Eukaryota; Metazoa; Nematoda; Chromadorea; Rhabditida; Meloidogynidae
Description: partial 5.8S ribosomal RNA
Rfam family: 5.8S ribosomal RNA
About the family: 5.8S ribosomal RNA (5.8S rRNA) is a component of the large subunit of the eukaryotic ribosome. It is transcribed by RNA polymerase I as part of the 45S precursor that also contains 18S and 28S rRNA.
Source: RNAcentral